GACGAACGCUGGCGGCGUGCUUAACACAUGCAAGUCGAACGGAAAGGCCCUGCUUUUGUGGGGUGCUCGAGUGGCGAACGGGUGAGUAACACGUGAGUAACCUGCCCUUGACUUUGGGAUAACUUCAGGAAACUGGGGCUAAUACCGGAUAGGAGCUCCUGCUGCAUGGUGGGGGUUGGAAAGUUUCGGCGGUUGGGGAUGGACUCGCGGCUUAUCAGCUUGUUGGUGGGGUAGUGGCUUACCAAGGCUUUGACGGGUAGCCGGCCUGAGAGGGUGACCGGCAACAUUGGGACGGAGAUACGGCCCAGACUCCUACGGGAGGCAGCAGUGGGGAAUAUUGCACAAUGGGCGGAAGCCUGAUGCAGCAACGCCGCGUGCGGGAUGACGGCCUUCGGGUUGUAAACCGCUUUCGCCUGUGACGAAGCGUGAGUGACGGUAAUGGGGAAAGAAGCACCGGCUAACUACGU
Molecule: ribosomal RNA, 467 nt
Filed under: uncultured bacterium
Lineage: Bacteria
Description: partial 16S ribosomal RNA
Rfam family: Bacterial small subunit ribosomal RNA
Source: RNAcentral